RNAcentral lists this ribosomal RNA (460 nucleotides) under uncultured bacterium. RNAcentral's name for it is "partial 16S ribosomal RNA". It matches the Rfam family "Bacterial small subunit ribosomal RNA", at positions 338 to 795 of the family's 1533-position model. The record is from RNAcentral.
CCUACGGGUGGCAGCAGUGAGGAAUAUUGGUCAAUGGACGAGAGUCUGAACCAGCCAAGUAGCGUGAAGGAUGACUGCCCUAUGGGUUGUAAACUUCUUUUAUAUGGGAAUAAAAUGUUCCACGUGUGGGGUUUUGUAUGUACCAUAUGAAUAAGGAUCGGAUAACUCCGUGCCAGCAGCCGCGGUAAUACGGAGGAUCCGAGCGUUACCCGGAUUUAUUGGGCUUAAAGGGAGCGCAGGUGGAUUGUUAAGGCAGUUGUGAAAGUUUGCGGCUCAACCGUAAAAUUGCAGAUGAAACUGGCAGUCUUGAGUACAGUAGAGGUGGGCGGAAUUCGUGGUGUAGCAGUGAAAUGCUUAGAUAUCACGAAGAACUCCGAUUGCGAAGGCAGUUCACUGGACUGCAACUGACACUGAUGCUCGAAAGUGUGGGUAUCAAACAGGAUUAGAUACCCGAGUAGUC